RNAcentral lists this ribosomal RNA (844 nucleotides) under Bacillus licheniformis. Its description in RNAcentral is "bacterial SSU rRNA". It matches the Rfam family "Bacterial small subunit ribosomal RNA", at positions 49 to 874 of the family's 1533-position model. Lineage: Bacteria; Bacillati; Bacillota; Bacilli; Caryophanales; Bacillaceae. The record is from RNAcentral.
CUAUACAUGCAGUCGAGCGGACCGACGGGAGCUUGCUCCCUUAGGUCAGCGGCGGACGGGUGAGUAACACGUGGGUAACCUGCCUGUAAGACUGGGAUAACUCCGGGAAACCGGGGCUAAUACCGGAUGCUUGAUUGAACCGCAUGGUUCAAUCAUAAAAGGUGGCUUUUAGCUACCACUUGCAGAUGGACCCGCGGCGCAUUAGCUAGUUGGUGAGGUAACGGCUCACCAAGGCGACGAUGCGUAGCCGACCUGAGAGGGUGAUCGGCCACACUGGGACUGAGACACGGCCCAGACUCCUACGGGAGGCAGCAGUAGGGAAUCUUCCGCAAUGGACGAAAGUCUGACGGAGCAACGCCGCGUGAGUGAUGAAGGUUUUCGGAUCGUAAAACUCUGUUGUUAGGGAAGAACAAGUACCGUUCGAAUAGGGCGGCACCUUGACGGUACCUAACCAGAAAGCCACGGCUAACUACGUGCCAGCAGCCGCGGUAAUACGUAGGUGGCAAGCGUUGUCCGGAAUUAUUGGGCGUAAAGCGCGCGCAGGCGGUUUCUUAAGUCUGAUGUGAAAGCCCCCGGCUCAACCGGGGAGGGUCAUUGGAAACUGGGGAACUUGAGUGCAGAAGAGGAGAGUGGAAUUCCACGUGUAGCGGUGAAAUGCGUAGAGAUGUGGAGGAACACCAGUGGCGAAGGCGACUCUCUGGUCUGUAACUGACGCUGAGGCGCGAAAGCGUGGGGAGCGAACAGGAUUAGAUACCCUGGUAGUCCACGCCGUAAACGAUGAGUGCUAAGUGUUAGAGGGUUUCCGCCCUUUAGUGCUGCAGCAAACGCAUUAAGCACUCCGCCU